UCACGCACAGGGACGUUCACGCAGGGCCCACGCACGGCACGUCGGCGCACGGCACGUCGGCGCACGGGUUCCGCUCUCGGACCUGGGAGACAGGGGUUUGCGGCGGCUCCACGCCAGUGGUUGAAGGAGCAGUGCAACUCUUCUAAAAUAAAAUCUUAUGUGGAAUCCCAGAUAUAUGAAGUGAAUUCAGGAUUCACACUGCGGGCGUGCACGUGUGGCGAGUCUUCCUCACAGCAGAGUCACUAGCAGCCCAAGGUGACGGCCCUUCUUUUCAGCUCCGGGUCUGAGGGUUGGAGACGCCAAACCCCGCCGGUUGAAGAGUCGAGUGUGUCACAGCUCCAUAAGCACAGACGGUGCAGUCCUGUGGACUCGAUGCUGAAAUCCUGGGCUUCUGCCCUAUGUCCUCCCUUCUACUUGAACUCCCUGAGUCGGAUAAGGACAGAGACCUCCGAGAGCGGCAUGGAAAGCAGAGGCAUUAAUCGUAGCAGGUGGCUCUACGUCACGGUGUGGGAGACUCUCCGUCAUCCUGGGCAGACGGAGAGGCCCACCCCACCUCCCUCCCUGGCUGCUCACCUGAGCGGCUUGUUCUCUGGGCCCAUGUCGGUGAGACCCAUCUCCUCCAGUUUGCGGCGCCGGUACAGCUCAUAGUGCCUCGUGUGUGUCUCGUCUCGCAGGUCCUCCAUGUUCGUACAAAUGAGCAUCUCCCGGAGCUUGACAAAGUCGCAGUGGUUUUCAUUUUCCACUAGCCAGAAAACAGAAAACAGCAACACCGAUUUUUAAUCCUGACAUAUAAUUAGUAUUUGUUGAAUGGACGAGUAAAUGAAAACACAUUUGAAAUAACCCAAACAGCGAAAUGAUCAGUCUGAUUAACAGCUACAGUUGUUUUAUACAAGUAACCAAGGAA
Long non-coding RNA from Balaenoptera ricei (Rice's whale), 904 nucleotides. RefSeq lists it as uncharacterized. NCBI's taxonomy places the organism in Eukaryota, Metazoa, Chordata, Mammalia, Artiodactyla, Balaenopteridae. The transcript is spliced from 4 exons. The record is from RefSeq and is a predicted model, not a curated record.